RNAcentral lists this long non-coding RNA (1394 nucleotides) under Daphnia magna. Its description in RNAcentral is "uncharacterized LOC116917334, transcript variant X4". The record is from RNAcentral. Lineage: Eukaryota; Metazoa; Arthropoda; Branchiopoda; Diplostraca; Daphniidae.
CUGCUAAUAGAUUUUAAAGGGUAUAUGAUUAUUUCUGAUUUUUUUUAAGGAACAACAGACAAGCUGAAAGAGAGUUACUUGAGCUCUGGCUGAUUGCCCUUUCAACUGGAUCAAUCACUCGGAUGUUUCAGGCUUUUAAAGUACUGUGUUAUCGUCAACGAGGUGACAUUUAUACCUGUUCGAUUAACCCACGCCAAUGAAGGAAAACUAAAUCCUGGCAUUGACGUUAACUCCCGACAGACUCCCUCCCACAUUCUUUAGGAAGUUCCUGAACUACGUCGUCAGCUCAGCGUGGCUUGUCCUUGUUUUCCUGAAGAUCAAUCGAUGUGAGGAUAAGACUGCGCCUAACGAGAUUUGUUGUUCUUCUAGCCGUAAAGAGGCCAGACAAAUUUGAAAGGUUUCUAAUGUGCGUGAAAAACUGGGGAUAUAGCCAGCCCACGAAAGCUCGCAUGAUUCUUGAUCCUAGCCGACCCGAAUAAAAAUAAGGAAACCCGAGAAACCAUUUUAGUUUUGGCCUACCAGUUAAGCCCUGUAUUGGGAUUAUAAUUGAAGGUGUACCUUGUUUCUAAUUGAGCUUCACGUCCCACUAGCACCAUCGGAUAUGUAUCUGCUUGGUUGGCUCAUCCUGGUCUAUUUUAGUAUCACCUGCCAACGCGUCAGGAAAUAGAGCUCCCAACAUGUUUUCUAAAGCAUGAAGAUGUGGAGCACGUUUACAUCUUCGACGGGAAAACUCGACUUUUGUCGCGUGGUGAACAUCUAUUGCACCAUGCAUAUACGUCUACCAUGAAGCAUCAAAGGAUUGAUAAAGAAGAUUUUCUUCGACAUCGAUGAAACAGUCCAUCAGCGGCGUCCUUUUUGCUGUGGAAUUUCACACCAUGUUGCACCGAAGUAUUCCGUUCAAUUUGGGAAGAUUUGACAGCCCUUUGACUUCAACAUUUCACAGCAGAUGAUAAAAUAACGUGCGUUCGGCUUACCGUACGUCAUACGCGUUCCAUUCAUCCCAUUGACGAUUACGUUGUAGCGAUCGUAGCUGAUGGCAGCCAUUGUACAGAUGCUGCAUAAUCCGAAAACAGAACCGGUGCAGGCGUAUAAUUCACACAUGAAAGGCCCAAAAAGCCAAACUCCUCCGUUGAAGCAGUUGAGGACAAACAUUGGAAACUGAGUAAUCAUCAUGCACAGAUGAAGAACCAAGGAAUUGCCUGAAAUAAUAGGUCAACAAAAACAAUGCCGGAAAUUUUUUUAAGCAAGACGACAAAACUUCAAAUUUAGGAUUAUCCACAUACCCGUGAUGGAGGCCAUACCCAAUACGAUGUAGAGAAGUCCCUAAAAGAGUAAAUGAUUAGAACAGUUACUGCAAGGUGAGUCCUAUGAUGAUAGUAACAACUUACAAGUAG